AGGGAGGACACUGGCUUUGGGAGUACUGAAUUCACAGUACUUUUGGGACCACCCAGAAAGCCUGUUACUGUUGGGGAGUUUAAAGGUUUCUAUAAAUGGAAAUGAAAUCUCAUCUCAUGUGGAUUAUUCAUUCAAGACAUAUUUUGAAAACUUACAGCCACCAGCUAUAGAUAAGGAGUACACAUCUGCCUUCGAGCACAUAAGUGAAUGGAAGAGAAAUUUUGCUGAAGAUGAGAAGAUCAUAAAGCACUAUCAAAAUAUCUGGCCCAGGGUCCUACCAGACAUCAGUGAAGGGUACUGGAAACUGUCCCCCAAGCCUUACAAGAUCCCUAGGCUGGAAGUUGGAGUGAACAACAUGGGUCCGG
Molecule: long non-coding RNA, 365 nt
Filed under: Rattus norvegicus (Norway rat)
Lineage: Eukaryota; Metazoa; Chordata; Mammalia; Rodentia; Muridae
Description: long non-coding RNA NONRATT016030
Source: RNAcentral